GCCUUCGUGGUGUAAUGGUCAGCACACUGAGCCGGUAUUUCAGAGAUCCGUGGUUCGAUUCCUCGGCGAAGGCG
Molecule: non-coding RNA, 74 nt
Organism: Stegodyphus mimosarum
Lineage: Eukaryota; Metazoa; Arthropoda; Arachnida; Araneae; Eresidae
Source: Rfam